RNAcentral lists this non-coding RNA (30 nucleotides) under Mus musculus (house mouse). Lineage: Eukaryota; Metazoa; Chordata; Mammalia; Rodentia; Muridae. The record is from RNAcentral.
UGCAAUGCUUAGUUGAGCCUUUUCUGCCUG